Molecule: ribosomal RNA, 468 nt
Filed under: uncultured bacterium
Lineage: Bacteria
Description: partial 16S ribosomal RNA
Rfam family: Bacterial small subunit ribosomal RNA
Source: RNAcentral
GACGAACGCUGGCGGCGUGCUUAACACAUGCAAGUCGAACGGAAAGGCCCUGCUUUUGUGGGGUGCUCGAGUGGCGAACGGGUGAGUAACACGUGAGUAACCUGCCCUUGACUUUGGGAUAACUUCAGGAAACUGGGGCUAAUACCGGAUAGGAGCUCCUGCUGCAUGGUGGGGGUUGGAAAGUUUCGGCGGUUGUGGAUGGACUCGCGGCUUAUCAGCUUGUUGGUGGGGUAGUGGCUUACCAAGGCUUUGACGGGGAGCCGGACUGAGAGGGUGACCGGCCACAUUGGGACUGCGAACCCGCCCAGACUCCUACGGGAGGCAUCAGUGGAAAAUAUUGCACAAUGGGCGGAAGCCUGAUGCAAGAACGCCGCGUGCGGGAUGACGGCCUUCGGGUUGUAAACCGCUUUCGCCUGUGACGAAGCGUGAGUGACGGUAAUGGGUAAAGAAGCACCGGCUAACUACGUG